GCUGGUUCAUGGGGCGUUCACCUCCGCAGGCC
RNAcentral lists this non-coding RNA (32 nucleotides) under Geobacter sulfurreducens PCA. Lineage: Bacteria; Pseudomonadati; Thermodesulfobacteriota; Desulfuromonadia; Geobacterales; Geobacteraceae. The record is from RNAcentral.